Molecule: ribosomal RNA, 446 nt
Filed under: uncultured Leptolinea sp.
Lineage: Bacteria; Bacillati; Chloroflexota; Anaerolineae; Anaerolineales; Anaerolineaceae
Description: bacterial SSU rRNA
Rfam family: Bacterial small subunit ribosomal RNA
Source: RNAcentral
GCACAAGCAGCGGAGCGUGUGGUUUAAUUCGAUGCUACACGAAGAACCUUACCAGGGUUUGACAUGCAAGUGGUAGGAAGCCGAAAGGUGACCGACCCUUCGGGGAGCUUGCACAGGUGCUGCAUGGCUGUCGUCAGCUCGUGUCGUGAGAUGUUCGGUUAAGUCCGCUAACGAGCGCAACCCUCGCUGUGUGUUAUAUGUGUCACACGGGACUGCCGGUCUUAAGCCGGAGGAAGGUGGGGAUGAUGUCAAGUCCUCAUGGCCCUUAUGGGUAGGGCUUCACACGUCAUACAAUGGUCGGUACAGAGGGUUGCCAAGCCGCGAGGUGGAGCCAAUCCCAGAAAGCCGAUCGUAGUCCGGAUUGUUCUCUGCAACUCGAGAGCAUGAAGUCGGAAUCGCUAGUAAUCGCGGAUCAGCAUGUCGCGGUGAAUACGUUCCCGGGUCUU